CUACGGGGGGCUCCAGGCGCGAAACCUUUACAAUGCACGCAAGUGCGAUAAGGGAACCCUAAGUGCUUUACCUUUGGUAAGGCUUUUCUUAAGAGUAAAAAUCUUGAGGAAUAAGUGGUGGGUAAGACUGGUGCCAGCCGCCGCGGUAAUACCAGCGCCACAAGUGGUGACCAUAGUUAUUGGGCCUAAAGCGUCCGUAGCUGGUUUAAUAAAUCCUUUGUGAAAUUGUCAGGCUUAACCUAACAGUAUGCAGAGGAGACUGUUAAACUUGGGACUGGGAGGAGUCAGAGGUAUUCCGGGGGGAGCGGUAAAAUGCUAUAAUCCUCGGAGGACCACCUGUGGCGAAGGCGUCUGACUAGAACAGAUCCGACAGUGAGGGACGAAAGCUAGGGGAGCAAUCCGGAUUAGAUACCCUAGUAGUC
Molecule: ribosomal RNA, 422 nt
Filed under: uncultured archaeon
Lineage: Archaea
Description: partial 16S ribosomal RNA
Rfam family: Archaeal small subunit ribosomal RNA
Source: RNAcentral